Transfer RNA from Toxocara canis (dog roundworm), 72 nucleotides. It matches the Rfam family "tRNA". Rfam says of the family: Transfer RNA (tRNA) molecules are approximately 80 nucleotides in length. The record is from Rfam. Lineage: Eukaryota; Metazoa; Nematoda; Chromadorea; Rhabditida; Toxocaridae.
GUGGCAGUAGCUCAGCAGUAGGGCUCCCGCUUUGCAUGCGGGAAGACCUGGGUUCAAUCCCCGGCUACUUUC